This 249-nucleotide long non-coding RNA is filed under the name Bos taurus (domestic cattle). RNAcentral's name for it is "long non-coding RNA NONBTAT022877". Lineage: Eukaryota; Metazoa; Chordata; Mammalia; Artiodactyla; Bovidae. The record is from RNAcentral.
CUCAUUCCGUGUUACAGGAUUUCUUUCUUACUUCGCCACCAGUAAGUCGUAUGGUCCCUGAACGACUCUGAGAGUAGGACUCUAUCCCAGAAACCCCUGCAGCCUCAGUGGGGCAAGUCUGUGGCAGCCACUGUCCCAGGUGCUGAAUCAAAUGGCCGCACUCCUGCCCCCUCCACCUCCUCUUAUUAUUGAGGACCCUCUUGAUCUCCAUUUCCUAGAACAUUUAGGUGAAAAUGAAGUCCUGGAUCA